This 308-nucleotide ribosomal RNA is filed under the name uncultured bacterium. RNAcentral describes it as "bacterial SSU rRNA". It matches the Rfam family "Bacterial small subunit ribosomal RNA", at positions 30 to 334 of the family's 1533-position model. The record is from RNAcentral.
AUUGAACGCUGGCGGCAUGGCUAAAACAUGCAAGUCGAACGCGAACGUGGGGCUUGCUCCACAAGUAGAGUGGCGAACGGGCGAGUAAUGCAUUUCUAACGUACCCCAGGGCCGGGGAUAGCUCAUCGAAAGGUGAAUUAAUACCCGAUAAACCCGCCUGCUGAAUGGCAUGGCGGGCAAAGGCUUGUCUACCCUGGGAUCGGGGAAUGUGCUAUCAGGUUGUUGGUGAGGUAACGGCUCACCAAGCCUUAGACGGCUAGCGGGUGUGAGAGCACGGCCCGCCGCAUCGGGACUGAGACACUGCCCGG